This 521-nucleotide ribosomal RNA is filed under the name uncultured bacterium. RNAcentral's name for it is "bacterial SSU rRNA". It matches the Rfam family "Bacterial small subunit ribosomal RNA", at positions 8 to 526 of the family's 1533-position model. The record is from RNAcentral.
AGAGUUUGAUCCUGGCUCAGAUUGAACGCUGGCGGCAUGCCUUACACAUGCAAGUCGAACGGUAACGCGGGGAAACCUGGCGACGAGUGGCGAACGGGUGAGUAAUGCAUCGGAACGUGCCCGGUAGUGGGGGAUAGCUCGGCGAAAGCCGGAUUAAUACCGCAUACGACCUGAGGGUGAAAGCGGGGGACCGAAAGGCCUCGUGCUAUUGGAGCGGCCGAUGUCAGAUUAGGUAGUUGGUGGGGUAAAGGCCUACCAAGCCGACGAUCUGUAGCUGGUCUGAGAGGACGACCAGCCACACUGGGACUGAGACACGGCCCAGACUCCUACGGGAGGCAGCAGUGGGGAAUUUUGGACAAUGGGGGAAACCCUGAUCCAGCCAUGCCGCGUGCGGGAAGAAGGCCUUCGGGUUGUAAACCGCUUUUGUCGGGGAAGAAAUUCUCUGGAUUAAUACCCUGGGGAGAUGACGGUACCCGAAGAAUAAGCACCGGCUAACUACGUGCCAGCAGCCGCGGUAAUUC